This 576-nucleotide long non-coding RNA is filed under the name Vitis vinifera (wine grape). RNAcentral's name for it is "long non-coding RNA (VVIN_LNC001652)". The record is from RNAcentral. Lineage: Eukaryota; Viridiplantae; Streptophyta; Magnoliopsida; Vitales; Vitaceae.
AAAAUGAUACCAAAAAUGCAAGAUUAGUGCCCGAGCCUGCUGAGAAUCUGAUCUAGGAAAUUGCAGUUCUGAGGCUGGAAGUGUCCGUCCGGGACAAUAUCUCCUUUCAUUGCAGCUGAGAAGCAGAGAUGCUGCAGGAGAAUUCUACAGGCUUCGAGUUGUGGAUGGGGUCAUCUUUGAGCCACUCAGGGGUGCACAUGCAGAUCUGUCUUGAACUCUUUCCAGUGUAUUGAAGCAUUGUCUGUUAUAGAUAAUUUUCUGAAGCUGAAAUAUAAAGACUGUAAAAAUUCCAAAGCUCUCAAUAAGGCCGCCCCUGUGAAUCUUGCAUAUCAUGCCUAUGGUACACCUUGGUCAAUCAUUGUACUGUGUUAACAACCAGAAUUCGGAUUUCCAAUGCGCCUGAAGAGAGAAGGAUAUGGUUCUAUGAAGCACAAAAAAAUUGAUUUCUAUGUGUCAUUUAUUCUUUUGAGCAAGAGUUACAUCCAAGGAAGAUAGAAAAACUACAGAUGAAAUAGAACCUCUAGAUUGCAGAGUGGUUAUCAAACUCCAGGAUUCUGCAGUAGCAGAGCUCUUUGG